Molecule: small nucleolar RNA, 129 nt
Filed under: Chinchilla lanigera (long-tailed chinchilla)
Lineage: Eukaryota; Metazoa; Chordata; Mammalia; Rodentia; Chinchillidae
Description: Small nucleolar RNA SNORA51 (ENSCLAG00000019814.1)
Rfam family: Small nucleolar RNA SNORA51
About the family: ACA51 is a member of the H/ACA class of snoRNA that guide the sites of modification of uridines to pseudouridines.
Source: Rfam by way of RNAcentral
AGCCUCUUGGUGUUUAUCAUAGUUUACGUUCUUUCAGUGAUUGUAUAGAAAAAGGAAAAAUAAACAUACUCCAUAUAUACUGCAGUCUGGGCCCUGUGCCUGCUCUGUAUUGUGAAUAGAGAGGCCUGU